AGAGUUUGAUCCUGGCUCAGAUUGAACGCUGGCGGCAGGCCUAACACAUGCAAGUCGAACGGUAACAGGAAGAAGCUUGCUUCUUUGCUGACGAGUGGCGGACGGGUGAGUAAUGUCUGGGAAACUGCCUGAUGGAGGGGGAUAACUACUGGAAACGGUAGCUAAUACCGCAUAACGUCGCAAGACCAAAGAGGGGGACCUUCGGGCCUCUUGCCAUCGGAUGUGCCCAGAUGGGAUUAGCUUGUUGGUGGGGUAACGGCUCACCAAGGCGACGAUCCCUAGCUGGUCUGAGAGGAUGACCAGCCACACUGGAACUGAGACACGGUCCAGACUCCUACGGGAGGCAGCAGUGGGGAAUAUUGCACAAUGGGCGCAAGCCUGAUGCAGCCAUGCCGCGUGUAUGAAGAAGGCCUUCGGGUUGUAAAGUACUUUCAGCGGGGAGGAAGGGAGUAAAGUUAAUACCUUUACUCAUUGACGUUACCCGCAGAAUAAGCAUCGGCUAACUCCGUGCCAGCAGCCGCGGUAAUACGGAGGAUGCGAGCGUUAUCCGGAUUCAUUGGGUUUAAAGGGUGCGUAGGCUGUGCGUUAAGUCAGGGGUGAAAUGCCGGUGCUCAACACUGGACCUGCCCUUGAUACUGGCGCGCUGGAGUGCGGAUGCCGUUGGAGGAAUGAGUGGUGUAGCGGUGAAAUGCUUAGAUAUCACUCAGAACACCGAUUGCGAAGGCAUCUGACGAAUCCGUAACUGACGCUGAGGCACGAAAGCGUGGGGAUAGAACAGGAUUAGAUACCCUGGUAUUCCACGCCGUAAACGAUGAUGGCUAACCGCCGGCGAUAGACAGUCGGUGGCCAAGCGAAAGCGAUAAGCCAUCCACCUGGGGAGUACGUCGGCAACGAUGAAACUCAAAGGAAUUGACGGGGGCCCGCACAAGCGGAGGAACAUGUGGUUUAAUUCGAUGAUACGCGAGGAACCUUACCCGGGCUCGAACGGCUGGUGAAGAGAUCCAGAGAUGGUGACGCCCUUCGGGGCACCAGUCGAGGUGCUGCAUGGUUGUCGUCAGCUCGUGCCGUGAGGUGUCGGCUCAAGUGCCAUAACGAGCGCAACCCUUGUCACUAGUUACCAGCGGGCUAUGCCGGGGACUCUAGUGAGACUGCCACCGCAAGGUGUGAGGAGGGGGGGGAUGACGUCAAAUCAGCACGGCCCUUACGUCCGGGGCGACACACGUGUUACAAUGGCGGCCACAGAGGGAUGCUACCUGGCGACAGGAUGCGGAUCUCGAAAAGCCGUCCCAGUUCGGACUGGAGUCUGCAACCCGACUCCACGAAGUUGGAUUCGCUAGUAAUCGCGCAUCAGCCAUGGCGCGGUGAAUACGUUCCCGGGCCUUGCACACACCGCCCGUCAAG
RNAcentral lists this ribosomal RNA (1401 nucleotides) under uncultured bacterium. Its description in RNAcentral is "bacterial SSU rRNA". It matches the Rfam family "Bacterial small subunit ribosomal RNA". The record is from RNAcentral.